RNAcentral lists this ribosomal RNA (430 nucleotides) under Pseudomonadota bacterium. Its description in RNAcentral is "Proteobacteria bacterium partial 16S ribosomal RNA". It matches the Rfam family "Bacterial small subunit ribosomal RNA", at positions 355 to 776 of the family's 1533-position model. Lineage: Bacteria; Pseudomonadati; Pseudomonadota. The record is from RNAcentral.
UGGGGAAUAUUGGACAAUGGGGGGAACCCUGAUCCAGCCAUGCCGCGUGUGUGAAGAAGGCCUUAUGGUUGUAAAGCACUUUAAGCGAGGAGGAGGGUACUGGUAUUAAUACUACCAGGUACUGGACGUUACUCGCAGAAUAAGCACCGGCUAACUCUGUGCCAGCAGCCGCGGUAAUACAGAGGGUGCGAGCGUUAAUCGGAUUUACUGGGCGUAAAGCGUGCGUAGGCGGCUAAUUGAGUCGGAUGUGAAAUCCCCGAGCUUAACUUGGGAAUUGCAUUAGAUACUGGUUAGCUAGAGUGUGGGAGAGGAUGGUAGAAUUACAGGUGUAGCGGUGAAAUGCGUAGAGAUCUGGAGGAAUAACGAUGGCGAAGGCAGCCAUCUGGCCUAACACUGACGCUGAGGUACGAAAGCAUGGGGAGCAAACAGG